AUACGGAGGAUCGGAGCGUUAUCCGGAUUUAUUGGGUUUAAAGGGUGCGCAGGCGGCCAUUUAAGUCAGCGGUUAAAUCGUGGGGCUCAACCCCAUUCUGCCGUUGAUACUGGGUGGCUUGAUUGCGGUCGAGGUUGGCGGAAUUCGUUGUGUAGCGGUGAAAUGCAUAGAUAUGACGAAGAACACCGAUUGCGUAGGCAGCUGACCAGACCGCAAAUGACGCUCAUGCACGAAAGUGCGGGGAUCGAACAGGAUUAGAUACCCUGGUAGUCCGCACAGUAAACGAUGAAUACUUGUUUUCGGCGAUAUAAUGUCGGAGGCAAAGCGAAAGCGAUAAGUAUUCCACCUGGGGAGUACGCCGGCAACGGUGAAACUCAAAUGAAUUGGCGGGG
Molecule: ribosomal RNA, 392 nt
Filed under: uncultured bacterium
Lineage: Bacteria
Description: partial 16S ribosomal RNA
Rfam family: Bacterial small subunit ribosomal RNA
Source: RNAcentral